RNAcentral lists this ribosomal RNA (203 nucleotides) under Thanatephorus sp. RNAcentral's name for it is "partial large subunit ribosomal RNA". It matches the Rfam family "Eukaryotic large subunit ribosomal RNA", at positions 82 to 279 of the family's 3401-position model. Lineage: Eukaryota; Fungi; Basidiomycota; Agaricomycetes; Cantharellales; Ceratobasidiaceae. The record is from RNAcentral.
AGUAACGGCGAGUGAAGCGGGAAGAGCUCAAAUUUAAAAUCUGGCAGUGUAUUCUGUCCGAGUUGUAGUCUAGAGAAGCAUCAUCCGUGCUGGACCAUGUACAAGUCUCUUGGAACAGAGCGUCAUAGAGGGUGAGAAUCCCGUCCUUGACAUGGACUCCCAGUACUUUGUGUUGUGCUCUCAGCGAGUCGAGUUGUUUGGGA